CAUCCACCCGGGUCUACAAGAAACCUCCACGGCCGAGCCUCAACCACAGAACACACCGCUACCGUUGAUGAGGUUCCACACCCCGGACUACCGCCAUGUUAGCCUCCAUAAUAGUCCUCGGCGCACUUGUUCUGAGACGUCCUGACUGGAGAGCUACACAACACUGGUCAUCCGCUGAGUGGUUGAAUUCCUGGUCUACCGGCCCCUGGAGGAGUGGUCGAUUGCCUGGUCUACUGUGGAUAUGAGUGGUUGAUUCCCUGGUCUACCCCUGGAUGACGCGGCUGUUCCUAUGCAGGGGAGGACUCACACAAGCGAUAAGCACCUGUUGGACCUGGAGACUCCCCCCUGAGCCUGACGGUGGAGCUGUGGGCCCUGCACCAGACCCCCACACCCCCCCACACCACCCACAGCAGGGGCAGGGCGUUGAGACUCCCCCCACAGGCUAAGACAGGGAGGGACUUGAAGAUCCAGGUUUUUGUCAUCUGCACAGGAAUUGACACAUGAUGUCUAAGGUUCCGCCCAUCCAGCUGAAGGGUGCCAAUGCCUACACAUGCAUCGACCACAGGUGUGCGCUGGACAUUGCCUACAAUUCAUGGUGCAAAUGGAGCGUCGGCGGAGAUCGAGCUGGCUGAAGGUUGGCGGCCGGGUCAAGCUCGCAACAGACAAGGAGUUCUGUGAGAUGUGCUCGGCUGAUGAUGUUGACCUCGGCCACAUCAAUGUUACAAAGGUGGUGAAGGUGUGGAAACUACAUCUACAUUGACGACGGACUCAAGGAGAUCGCUGAGACUACUACUACUAUUACUAUUACUACUCUCUAUACUGCUAUGUGUACUAUUAAAUCCUC
Molecule: long non-coding RNA, 844 nt
Organism: Eriocheir sinensis (Chinese mitten crab)
Lineage: Eukaryota; Metazoa; Arthropoda; Malacostraca; Decapoda; Varunidae
Exons: 5
Source: RefSeq, a predicted model, not a curated record